AUACGUAGGGGGCGAGCGUUGUCCGGAAUUACUGGGUGUAAAGGGCGUGUAGGCGGGGGUACAAGUUACCGGUAAAAACCCGAGGCUUAACUUCGGGCUUGCCGAUAAAACUGUAUCUCUUGAGUGUAGGAGAGGGAAUCGGAAUUCCCGGAGUAGCGGUGCAAUGCGUAGAUACCGGGAGGAACACCAGUGGCGAAGGCGGAUUCCUGGCCUACAACUGACGCUGAGGCGCGAAAGCUGGGGUAGCAAACGGGAUUAGAUACCCCGGUAGUCCCAGCUGUAAACGAUGGUCACUAGGUGUGGGUGGUGGUCAAGCCAUCCGUGCCGGAGUUAACGCAAUAAGUGACCCACCUGGGGAGUACGACCGCAAGGUUGAAACUCAAAUGAAUUGACGGGG
Molecule: ribosomal RNA, 397 nt
Filed under: uncultured bacterium
Lineage: Bacteria
Description: partial 16S ribosomal RNA
Rfam family: Bacterial small subunit ribosomal RNA
Source: RNAcentral